RNAcentral lists this ribosomal RNA (161 nucleotides) under uncultured bacterium. RNAcentral describes it as "partial 16S ribosomal RNA". It matches the Rfam family "Bacterial small subunit ribosomal RNA", at positions 360 to 513 of the family's 1533-position model. The record is from RNAcentral.
AAUAUUGGACAAUGGGCGAAAGCCUGAUCCAGCCAUGCCGCGUGUGUGAAGAAGGUCUUCGGAUUGUAAAGCACUUUAAGUUGGGAGGAAGGGCAUUAACCUAAUACGUUAGUGUUUUGACGUUACCGACAGAAUAAGCACCGGCUAACUUCGUGCCAGCA